RNAcentral lists this long non-coding RNA (641 nucleotides) under Chinchilla lanigera (long-tailed chinchilla). Its description in RNAcentral is "lncRNA (ENSCLAG00000027445.1)". Lineage: Eukaryota; Metazoa; Chordata; Mammalia; Rodentia; Chinchillidae. The record is from RNAcentral.
GAGACAACUGGUAGUGACUCCUCCCAGAAAGACAAUGGAAAGGAGCAGAACAGAAGCUCCGAGGGCGUCUUCAGGGAACGGAAGUAGAGGGCGCUGUUCACUGGUGCCUUUGAGAUCAGGUUUUCUGAGACAAUGUAAAGGACCUCCAUGAAUGGAGGAUCAGCAACCUGGAACCCUGGAUGUGCCAGACACCCUGUCUCUUCUGACCAGACAUUUGCUCUACCUCCUUAGUUCAGGGAACAAGAGAAUGCAUGCUUGUAGCACUUCUCAAAACUUUUGUCCAGAUCCCUGACAAGACAGUUUUAAUUGCUCAUUGGUUUUCUGUACCAUCAGCAGGGAUGACAAUUUCCUCUUCCCCACCAGCUCACCAGCGGUUGGUAUAUAUUCUUUCUAUCUGGCCCCUUCAGCUUCUCCUAUUUCAUGUUAUUGUUAUCUGCCACCAUGAGUCCUCGCUUUAGUGAUAAGGGGAAUUAAAAUGAAGGUGAUGCUAUGAACUUAUUACAAAAGCUGUCAUUGGAAAGGAAGAGAGAAGAUGGGGAAAGGACACGGGCUUGAGCAACAGCUGGAGGAUCACAUUCUCCUGAAGAGGAUCAGACUCCCUAAGUGACUAACAGGCCUGUAUGCAGAGCUGAGAAAGAUUU